AGAGUUUGAUCAUGGCUCAGAUUGAACGCUGGCGGCAGGCCUAACACAUGCAAGUCGAACGGUAACAUUUCUAGCUUGCUAGAAGAUGACGAGUGGCGGACGGGUGAGUAAUGCUUGGGAACUUGCCUUUGCGAGGGGGAUAACAGUUGGAAACGACUGCUAAUACCGCAUAACGUCUACGGACCAAACGGGGCUUAGGCUCCGGCGCAAAGAGAGGCCCAAGUGAGAUUAGCUAGUUGGUAAGGUAAUGGCUUACCAAGGCAACGAUCUCUAGCUGUUCUGAGAGGAAGAUCAGCCACACUGGAACUGAGACACGGUCCAGACUCCUACGGGAGGCAGCAGUGGGGAAUAUUGCACAAUGGGGGAAACCCUGAUGCAGCCAUGCCGCGUGUGUGAAGAAGGCCUUCGGGUUGUAAAGCACUUUCAGUUGUGAGGAAAAGUUAGUAGUUAAUACCUGCUAGCCGUGACGUUAACAACAGAAGAAGCACCGGCUAACUCCGUGCCAGCAGCCGCGGUAAUACGGAGGGUGCGAGCGUUAAUCGGAAUUACUGGGCGUAAAGCGCACGCAGGCGGUUUGUUAAGCUAGAUGUGAAAGCCCCGGGCUCAACCUGGGAUAGUCAUUUAGAACUGGCAGACUAGAGUCUUGGAGAGGGGAGUGGAAUUCCAGGUGUAGCGGUGAAAUGCGUAGAUAUCUGGAGGAACAUCAGUGGCGAAGGCGACUCCCUGGCCAAAGACUGACGCUCAUGUGC
Molecule: ribosomal RNA, 749 nt
Filed under: uncultured marine microorganism
Description: bacterial SSU rRNA
Rfam family: Bacterial small subunit ribosomal RNA
Source: RNAcentral